This is a small nucleolar RNA of Podarcis muralis (Common wall lizard), 133 nucleotides long. Ensembl annotates it as small nucleolar RNA SNORA84. Its record names the gene SNORA84. Lineage: Eukaryota; Metazoa; Chordata; Lepidosauria; Squamata; Lacertidae. The record is from Ensembl.
GCCCUGUGGUUGCUGGACACUGUUAUCUCCAUACAGUGCUUCAGUUAGUAGAAGAGGGCAAAAAAUAAUACUCUGACUUACGCAUGGAGUCUGAUACUUUAGCAGCCUCCAUAGCCCUGUCAUUGUUACAUUG